Molecule: ribosomal RNA, 611 nt
Filed under: uncultured bacterium
Lineage: Bacteria
Description: bacterial SSU rRNA
Rfam family: Bacterial small subunit ribosomal RNA
Source: RNAcentral
CCUACGGGAGGCAGCAGUAGGGAAUAUUGGGCAAUGGGCGCAAGCCUGACCCAGCCAUGCCGCGUGCCGGAAGAAGGCCCUCUGGGUUGUAAACGGCUUUUGACGGGGAAGAAACGACUCUUGCGAGAGGCAUUGACGGUACCCGCAGAAUAAGCACCGGCUAACUCCGUGCCAGCAGCCGCGGUAAUACGGAGGGUGCAAGCGUUGUCCGGAUUUAUUGGGUUUAAAGGGUGCGUAGGCGGUCUGGUAAGUCGGCGAUGAAAGCCCGGGGCUCAACCCCGGAACUGUCGUCGAUACUGUCGGACUUGAAUAUGGUGGAGGCUGGCGGAAUGGGCGGUGUAGCGGUGAAAUGCAUAGAUACCGUCCAGAACCCCGAUUGCGAAGGCAGCUGGUUGUACCAUUAUUGACGCUGAGGCACGAAAGCGUGGGGAGCGAACAGGAUUAGAUACCCUGGUAGUCCACGCCGUAAACGAUGGAUACUCGUCGUCGGCGAUAGAUAGUCGGCGACUCAGCGAAAGCGGUAAGUAUCCCACCUGGGGAGUACGCCGGCAACGGUGAAACUCAAAGGAAUUGACGGCUGAGACGNGCGACGACGACGACGAGGGAGGAGG